GGCGAACGCUGGCGGUAUGCUCAACACAUGCAAGUCGAACGAGACGAAGAUGAAGUGCUUGCACGGAUUCUUUAGAAAGUGGCGAACGGGUGAGUAACGCGUGGGUAACUUGCCCUAUGGAAAGGAAUAGCUUCGGGAAACUGGGAGUAAUGCCUUAUAAUAUAUCGAAGUCGCAUGGCUUUGAUAUUAAACGCUACGGUGCGAUAUGAUGGACCCGCGUCCCAGUAGCUAGUUGGUGGGAGAAAAGCCCACCAAGGCGACGAUGGGUAACCGGUCUGAGAGGGCGAACGGUCACACUGGAACUGAGACACGGUCCAGACUCCUACGGGAGGCAGCAGUGGGGAAUAUUGCGCAAUGGGGGCAACCCUGACGCAGCAAUACCGCGUGAGUGAAGAAGGUUUUCGGAUCGUAAAGCUCUGUUAUUGGGGAAGAAAAAAAGACGGUACCCAAGAAGAAAGUCCCGGCUAACUACGUGCCAGCCGCCGCAGUAA
RNAcentral lists this ribosomal RNA (491 nucleotides) under uncultured bacterium. RNAcentral describes it as "partial 16S ribosomal RNA". It matches the Rfam family "Bacterial small subunit ribosomal RNA", at positions 28 to 523 of the family's 1533-position model. The record is from RNAcentral.